This 488-nucleotide ribosomal RNA is filed under the name uncultured bacterium. RNAcentral's name for it is "bacterial SSU rRNA". It matches the Rfam family "Bacterial small subunit ribosomal RNA", at positions 29 to 507 of the family's 1533-position model. The record is from RNAcentral.
AUGAACGCUAGCUACAGGCUUAACACAUGCAAGUCGAGGGGCAGCAUUAUCGAAGCUUGCUUUGAUAGAUGGCGACCGGCGCACGGGUGAGUAACGCGUAUCCAACCUUCCCCAUAGUCAGGAAUAGCCCGGCGAAAGUCGAAUUAAUGCCUGAUGUUUUCCACGGACGGCAUCUGAUGUGGAACAAAGAUUCAUCGCUAUGGGAUGGGGAUGCGUCUGAUUAGCUUGUUGGCGGGUAACGGCCCACCAAGGCAACGAUCAGUAGGGGUUCUGAGAGGAAAGCCCCCCACAUUGGAACUGAGACACGGUCCAAACUCCUACGGGAGGCAGCAGUGAGGAAUAUUGGUCAAUGGGCGAGAGCCUGAACCAGCCAAGUAGCGUGCAGGAUGACGGCCCUAUGGGUUGUAAACUGCUUUUAUGCGGGGAUAAAGCGGGCGACGUGUCGCCCCUUGCAGGUACCGCAUGAAUAAGGACCGGCUAAUUCCGUG